RNAcentral lists this unclassified non-coding RNA (225 nucleotides) under soil metagenome. RNAcentral describes it as "partial internal transcribed spacer 1". The record is from RNAcentral.
UUGAACAAUCAAACCAAUGUAGACUGUGUUGUAGCUGGCCUUCGGGCAUGUGCACGCCGGUUUACAAUUGUUCUCCAUCCACCUGUGCACUUUAUGUAGGCUCACAAUCGUUGUUCACCUGAAAAUGGUGGUUUUGAAAGCAUUAUUGUUUUCAAGCGAAUGUGGUCUAUGUUUUAUACACUCGUUGAAUGUCUUAGAAUGUCAUGUUAUAUUCAAAUACAAAUA